UUUUUUUGUAGGUGUUUUUUUUAUUUAAUGAAGUUGCUACAACCAUGAAAUACAGCAACAUAUAGAUCAGGCUGGUGUAGUACAGAAAACAGUUCCACGUACCAACUAUACAGAGCAGGGUCAUGCACAGCAGUUGGAUUCUAAUCAAAUCAAACUUUAUUAGUCACAUGACCCCGAAUACAAAAAAAAAGUGUAGACCUCACAGUGGAAUGCUGACUUAUGAGCCCCUAACCAAUAGGUGUAGACCUCACAGUGGAAUGCUGACUUAUGAGCCCCUAACCAAUAGGUGUAGACCUCACAGUGGAAUGCUGACUUAUGAGCCCCUAACCAAUAGGUGUAGACCUCACAGUGGAAUGCUGACUUAUGAGCCCCUAACCAAUAGGUGUAGACCUCACAGUGGAAUGCUGACUUAUGAGCCCCUAACCAACAACGUAGUUGUAUAUGGAUAAGAAUAAGCAAUAAAAGUAACCCCAUAUUCAAGUAACCUAAUUAAAGAGCAGCAGUAAACUAACAAUAGUGAGACUAUAUACAGGGGGUAACGGUACAGAGUCAAUGUGGAGGCUAUAUACAGGGGGUACCGGUACAGAGUCAAUGUGGAAGCUAUAUACAGGGUGUUACGGUACAGAGUCAAUGUGGAGGCUAUAUACAGGGGGGUACCGAUACAGAGUCAAUGUGGAGGCUAUAUACAGGGGGUACCGGUACAGAGUCAAUGUGGAGGCUAUAUACAGGGGGUACCAGUACAGAGUCAAUGUGGAGACUAUAUAUAGGGUGUUACGGUACAGAGUCAAUGUGGAGGCUAUAUACAGGGGGUACCGGUACAGAGUCAAUGUGGAGGCUAUAUACAGGGGGUACCAGUACAGAGUCAAUGUGGAGGCUAUAUAUAGGGUGUUACGGUACAGUCAAUGUGGAGGCUAUAUACAGGGUAUUACGGUACAGAGUCAAUGUGGAGGCUAUAUACAGGGGGAACCGGUACAGAGUCAAUGUGGAGGCUAUAUACAGGGGGUACCGGUACAGAGUCAAUGUGGAGGCUAUAUACAGGGGGCACCGGUACAGAGUCAAUGUGCCGGGGCACCGGUUAGUUGAGGUAAUAUGUACAUAGAGUUAUUAAAGUGACAAUGCAUAGAUGAUAACAACAGAGAGUAACAGUGGUGUAAAAGAGGGGGGCAAUGCAAAUAGUCUGGGGAGCCAUUUGAUUAGUUGUUCAGGAGACUUAUGGCUUGGGGGUAGAAGCUGUUUAGGAGCCUCUUGGACCUAGACUUGGCACUCUGGUACCGCUUGCCAUGCGGUAGCAGAGAGAAAGACUAGAGUGGCUGGAGUCUGACAAUUUUUAGGGCCUUCCUCUGACGCAGCCUGGUAUAGAGGUCCUGGAUGGCAGGAAGCUUGUCCCCAGUGAUGUACUGGGCCAUACGCAUUACCCUCUGUAGUGGCUUACGGUCGGAGGCCGAGCAGUUACCAUAACAGGCAUUGAUGCAACUAGUCAGGAUGCUCUCGAUGGUGCAGCUGUAGAACCUUUUGAGGAUCUGAGGACCCAUGACAAAUAUUUUGUCUCCUGAGGGGGAAUAGGUUUUGUUUUGCCCUCUUCUCUUAUCUUGGUGUGCUUGGACCAUGUUAGUUUGUUGGUGAUGUGGACACCAAGGAACUUGAAGCUCUCAACCUGCUCCACUGCAGCCCCGGCGAUGAGAAUGGGGGCGUGCUUAGUCCUUUUUUUCCCUGUAGUCCACAAUCAUCCCCUUUGUCUUGAUCACGUUGAUGGAGAGGUUGUUGUCCUGGCACCACACGGCCAGGUCUCUGACCUACUCCCUAUAGGCUGUCUCGUCGUUGAGGGAGAGGUUGUUGUCCUGGCACCUCCCGGCCAGGUCUCUGACCUCCUCCCUAUAGGCUGUCUCGUCGUUGAGGGAGAGGUUGUUGUCCUGGCACCUCCCGGCUAGGUCUCUGAUCUCCUCCCUAUAGGCUGUCUCGUCGUUGAGGGAGAGGUUGUUGUCCUGGCACCUCACGGCCAGGUCUCUGACCUCCUCCCAAUAGGCUGUCUCAUCGUUGAGGGAGAGGUUGUUGUCCUGGCACCUCACGGCCAGGUCUCUGACCUCCUCCCUAUAGGCUGUCUCAUCUGGCACCACACGGCCAGGUCUCUGACCUCCUCCCUAUAGUCUUUCUCAUCGUUGAGGGAGAGGUUGUUGUCCUGGCACCUCACGGCCAGGUCUCUGACCUCCUCCCUAUAGGCUGUCUCGUCGUUGAGGGAGAGGUUGUUGUCCUGGCACCUCACGGCCAGGUCUCUGACCUCCUCCCUAUAGGCUGUCUCGUCGUUGUCGGUGAUCAGGCCUACGGUUCUGGUCUGGGUUGUUUUAUGGGACGCUGCAUAUUUCUGACCGGUCUCAUCAUGUCAAAGCUUUUAAACAUUUAAAAAAUUGGAGUUGUCAGCUGGUGAGCAGAGCCUGGUCCCAGAUCAGUUUGUUCUCUUGAUAACUCCAAUGCUGUCAUUGUCAAGCUAAAUGAGUGACAAGGAGUUGGCAUGACAGCACAGACAGACUGGCACUCAGUCUAGAACUCAGGCUAGCAUGAUCAUAGUUCCCUUCAACAACGAUGACAAAACUCAAUACGAAAGUAAGAUACGAUUUAUCGGCAAAUCAAUGAUUCCUGAAACACAAGAGGCAUAAAAUAUAUAAAAUAUGAACAUAAUGUCCACUCCCAAUAUAGUGCACUACGUAGGAAAUAUGGUACAAUUUGGGACACACCCAAUAAUCAAGUUCAGUCCGUGGUCAUCACCACCACCUAGCACUUCAAGUAACCAAGGCCAUAAUAACCCAAUAUUUAUUUAACCUUUAUUUAACUAGGCAAGUCAGUUAAGAACAAAUUCUUAUUUUCAAUGACGGUCUAGGAACAGUGGGUUUAACUGCCUGUUCAGGGGCAGAAUGACAGAUUUGUACCUUGUCAGCUCGGGGGUUUGAACUUGCAAUCUUCCUGUUACUAGACCAACGCUCUAACCACUAGGCUACCCUGCCACCAAGUAACCAAGGCCAUAAUAACCCCAUAUCAAGUAACCAAGGCCAUAAUAACCCGAUAUCAAGUAACCAAGGCCGUAAUAACCCGAUAUCAAGUAACCAAGGCCGUAAUAACCCGAUAUCAAGUAACCAAGGCCGUAAUAACCCGAUAUCAAGUAACCAAGGCCGUAAUAACCCGAUAUCAAGUAACCAAGGCCGUAAUAACCCGAUAUCAAGUAACCAAGGCCGUAAUAACCCGAUAUCAAGUAACCAAGGCCGUAAUAACCCGAUAUCAAGUAAUCAAGGCCAUAAUAACCCGAUAUCAGGUAAGCAUGGCCGUAAUAUGGCCUUCCCCUGGGCCUACCCAACAUGUCAGUAGCUAUUAAAAUGUCUAUGACAUCUUUUUGUCAACGUAAUACAGUAUUUCAAACAAGGAAACACAUUACAUAUCAAUAGACAGUUGCUUCAGUCCAAAGGAGGAAGAGAGUCCAGUAGUAGUCUGCAGUUCACAACCAACCAGCCAAUGGUAAGCCAGCAGCCAAUGGUAAGCCAGCAGCCAAUGGUAAGCCAGCAGCCAAUGGUAAGCCAGCAGCCAAUGGUA
This is a long non-coding RNA of Oncorhynchus tshawytscha (Chinook salmon), 3576 nucleotides long. The record is from Ensembl. Lineage: Eukaryota; Metazoa; Chordata; Actinopteri; Salmoniformes; Salmonidae.